CCUACGGGCGGCAGCAGUGGGGAAUAUUGGACAAUGGGGGCAACCCUGAUCCAGCCAUGCCGCGUGUGUGAAGAAGGCCCUCGGGUUGUAAAGCACUUUCAGUGAGGAAGAACGCCUGGUGGUUAAUACCCAUCAGGAAAGACAUCACUCACAGAAGAAGCACCGGCUAACUCCGUGCCAGCAGCCGCGGUAAUACGGAGGGUGCGAGCGUUAAUCGGAAUUACUGGGCGUAAAGCGCGCGUAGGUGGCUUGAUAAGCCGGUUGUGAAAGCCCCGGGCUCAACCUGGGAACGGCAUCCGGAACUGUCAAGCUAGAGUGCAGGAGAGGAAGGUAGAAUUCCCGGUGUAGCGGUGAAAUGCGUAGAGAUCGGGAGGAAUACCCGUGGCGAAGGCGGCCUUCUGGACUGACACUGACACUGAGGUGCGAAAGCGUGGGUAGCAAACAGGAUUAGAUACCCGUGUAGUC
RNAcentral lists this ribosomal RNA (465 nucleotides) under Vreelandella stevensii. RNAcentral describes it as "partial 16S ribosomal RNA". It matches the Rfam family "Bacterial small subunit ribosomal RNA", at positions 338 to 795 of the family's 1533-position model. The record is from RNAcentral. Lineage: Bacteria; Pseudomonadati; Pseudomonadota; Gammaproteobacteria; Oceanospirillales; Halomonadaceae.